GGGAAUUUGGGAGAAGGUCCUAUCUGAGUCUUUACUCAGGUAUGAAGCCUUUGCUUUGUAUGAAGCAUUUAUUGAAACAGACACCAUUUCCACACCUCUGCCUUUUGUCACGAUGCUCUGAAACCUGGCUGGUGGGAGAUACAGGUUUAUUCAGGCAGCUUUAAUUUCCUGUGGUUAUAGAGAAAUACCCUCAGUGUUCAGAAGCUGGGAAUAUAAUGGAAUCAAAGAAUGGUUUGGGUUGGAAAGGGACCUUAAAUCUCACCUUGUUCUACCCUCUGCCAUGGUCAGGGGCACCUUCCUCUACCCCAGGUUCCUCCAAACCCCAUCCAAGCUGGCCUUGAACACUUCCAGGUCUGAGGAAAUCUGCAGAUAAAGUCAUAAAAGAUGUCACAGAUCAGGCACGUGAGAGUAUCACAAAUUGCUUAAUGCUACUGGUGUGACCAGAUAUGAAAUAUUGAUUUUCAGCCCUUUUAUGGCUGGAUGAUAUCUCUUAGCAUUGCAAAUGUACACUCUUUAAUCAGUGGAUUUCCAUUCAGCUUUCCUGUCUGAUGUCUUUCAUCUGCCCAAAAAGGUCCAGACUAAGAGGUGCUUUUUGAACCAAAAAUGUUAAGGAGCUACCAAACUUUCACAAUAACCUGGAUGUGCUCCCUGUUUUAACCAAUCCAGCAAAAUCAUAACCUGUUACCUGGUAGAUGUGGUGUUUUCUUUCCUGUUCUCUUCUCCUUUUAGGAGCUCAAUUCUGUGUUUCCACAGCCUCAGAAGUGGGGAAUGGUGAUGGGGAGAGGACCCUGCUUUCCAGGCUAAAUCCUCCCUCACAUUAAUCUCUUCCAUUGGCACUGCAUUUUAUCAGGGAGGAGGAGGACAUCAGGAAGUCUCCUAAUCCUUGCUGCCUUGCCAAAUGAUGGAAAUGUGAAAGCUGCCAGAAAGAACAGGGAUGAAAAGUGAUACUCCUCCAGUUUGUCUCUCUGAUGCUGCAACCUGGAGACAAGUCAUUUCUGCAGCAAGGCUGUGCAAACAUCAUGUGUUCCUGUGUGGAAAGCAGGGGAGACGGCCAGGAGCAACAGGACAUGGUGAGGAACAUCCGGGAUCAGCUCCUGACUCCCUUGUUUUAUUUUCUCUUGGGUUCUGCCUUGUUCCAUUCCAGAAGCUGUUUCCAGGGACUGGGAUCAGCCCGGUUGGAGGUGCAGAAAAUGAACCCAGCAGCCAGCUCUGCUCAGUGACUCAGAAUCUCUGCUGCCAUCUUCAGUAA
Molecule: long non-coding RNA, 1249 nt
Filed under: Cyanistes caeruleus (blue tit)
Lineage: Eukaryota; Metazoa; Chordata; Aves; Passeriformes; Paridae
Description: lncRNA (ENSCCEG00000007422.1)
Source: RNAcentral